CAAAAUUCUCUUCAUCAUCUUCAGGUACAGGUGAAACAUUUAAGUCCAUGGUAACAAUCAUUCAACGUCCACCGCACAACAUUUACCAACAUGAAAACAUUUAAGUGUUUCUUCUAGCAGUAUUUGCAAAUGUAACUUGUUACCUGCAAAGUAACAGAUAUAAGCUGAUUCUUCUAUGUAGCAAGGAAAUUGAGAAGCACACGAUCAAUAGAUCAUAAAAAGUUUAUAAAGCUUCAGAACACAAC
This 245-nucleotide unclassified non-coding RNA is filed under the name Hevea brasiliensis (rubber tree). The record is from RNAcentral. Lineage: Eukaryota; Viridiplantae; Streptophyta; Magnoliopsida; Malpighiales; Euphorbiaceae.